AAUUUGUGUUCGAGGAAAAAGAUUUCAAGCUUGUCGGGUUUUGUGGUCGGUCCGGUGAUGCUAUCGAUGCUCUUGGUGCACAUUUUGCGCCUCUUCCACCUCCACCUCCAGCUCCUACUCCGGAUCCCGCUACCUCAAAGAUGGGACCGCUAGGUGGUGACAAGGGAAACACAUUUGACGAUGGUGUUUUGGAUGGUGUGAAGAAAGUAACCAUUGGAGCAGAUGAAUACAGUGUAACUUAUAUCAAGAUCGAAUACGCAAAUGAUGGAAACGUCGAAAUCCGUGAACAUGGGACAAAUAGAGGGGAGCUAAAAGAGGUCAGAUAUAUAAAAACAUACGUUUUUGAUAUAUAUUUUUGUUAAUAUACAAUUGAUUCACUAUUAAUUAGUGGUUUUGAAUUUAAAAUGAAAUACAGUUUUCGGUGGCUUAUCCGAAUGAAUAUAUCACAGCCGUUGGUGGAAGCUACAAGCAUAUUUUCAACUAUGAUACAACACUUAUUACAUCACUGUACUUCACAACUUCCAAAGGAUUAACCUCUCCAUUAUUUGGUGAGAUAAAGGGAAGAGAAUUCGAGUACAAAGAUGAAAAUGGAGGAAAUCUUGUUGGAUUCCAUGGACGUGGUGGUUAUGCUAUUGAUGCCAUUGGUGUACAUUUUGCUCCAGCUCCAAACUCUUCUAUACCAACUCCUCCCAACAAAUUGUCCAAGGUCUACAUUACAUCUGGUAAUGAAGGAAUUGAGGAAAUCAAUUUCUAUAAUGUAGAAAACGGAGUGACAAAGGAAGUGUUUCUUCAUGGUGUGAAGGGUAAAAAUCUCAUUUCUACGGUGCGUUACAUAUUUACAACAUAUUUUUAUUUAUACAUUAACUACUCACAUUUUUAUCUAAGUUUUCCAUUUAAUUUCUCCAGCUUGUUAUAAGCAAUCCUCCUGAUGAGUGUCUCGUUUCUGUCGAGAGUUGGUAUAGUUCUUACAAUGUUUCUCAAGGAAUUAAGUUUAAAACCGAUACGAACGGUUCUAAUUUCUUUGGAUAUAAGUUUUCUGAGGAUACUGGUAGACCAUUUUCUCUCCAAGUCAAGGGUAAGAAGAUCAUCGGCGUUCAGAAGUUCCCUGACUCGAAUCUCAUAUCUCCUGGAACGUACUUUGUACUAUCCCGUUCCUCUUCUCCCGACAAAGUGGAAGCUAUAGGAGGAAAGGGUGGAGAAACAUUUGACGACGGUGCUUUUAAUCAUGUAAGAAAAGUUUUUGUUGGUAAAGGCGAUUCCGGUAUAGCUUAUGUCAAGUUCGACUACGAAAAAGACGGCAGAAUAGUGACACAGGAGCACGGACAAAAGACAUCUCAAGAAACGGAGGUGUUCGAGAUAGGUCAAGACGAUGACAUCACAUCUGUGAAAGCUUACUACGAAACACUCGAUGGCUCGAAGACAGAAACUAUAACGUAUCUUGCAUUCAAGACUCUGAAGGGCAUUAACUCUCAGCCGUUUGGAAAGACCCCUGUUAUUGUAAAUGAGAAUACAAAAUUGUCUUUGCUUGAAGGUGGCAAAAUCACUGGUUUUCAUGGAAGCUCGACGGACGUUCUUCAUUCUAUCGGAGCUUAUAUUUCGGCUUCUCCGCCGACCAUGUUGCAUGGCAAGUGGAUCCAGGUACGUCCGUAGAAUGGAUGGUAAUACGGAUCGGUAUGGUUAGACAUAUUCAAUUUUUUCGAUCAUUCGGUUAGGAGAUUUCAUAUUUCAGUAGAAAUCAAUCAGUUCAGUUCGUCUUUAGUUUUUAAAACAUAAAAGUAAAUAUUAUUUUGUUACAAAAUAUAUUAGUAUGCAAAUUUGUUGUAUUAUAUCAAGUUUUCUUAUAGGUUCUGGUUCAAAAUUCAAAAUUCUCGUAUAGAUUUUGGUUCAAUUCAUAUAUUCUUUAAAUAGACCUAGUGCGUAGUAAAACUUCUGUGAAAAAAUGAUUAUUGUUUCAUGUGUAACCGUGACAUUAAUUGUGUUAAGAAACAUCUGGUGACUAUCAUUACUAGGUGGAACAAAAUGGAAAGACUCCUGGACCAAGAUGUUCUCAUGCUAUAGCAAUGGUUGGAAACAAAAUGUACUCUUUCGGAGGAGAGUUAAAGCCAAAUUUUCACAUCGAUCGAGACCUCUACUUCUUCGAUUUCGAGACUCGCCGAUGGUCGAUCGCUGAUCCAGACGGUGAUGUCCCUGAGCUCCCUUGCUUAGGCGUUUGCAUGGUAGCUAUCGGCACUACACUCUAUGUCUUUGGUGGCCGCGACGGCUUCCGUAAUUACAAUGGCUUCUACUCUUACGACACGGUUAAAAGCGAGUGGAAACUCAUAACUCACGUCAACAAUGGACCUGCACCGCGUAGCUUCCACUCGAUGGCUGCUGAUGGCAAUAAUAUUUAUAUCUUUGGUGGAGUGACUACUAAGGAACGUGUCAACACACUUCAUGCUUACAACAUCGUUGAUCAAAAGUGGACUGAGCUUCCGAAUCCAGGAGAGUCUUGCAAAGGGAGAGGUGGAGCGGGGCUUGUGGUUGUGCAAGGGAAGAUUUGGGUUGUGUAUGGGUUUAUUGGGGAAGAAGUAGAAGAUGUUCAUUGCUUUGAUCCAGUUGAAAGUAAGUGGACUAAAGUGGAAACAAGGGGUGAAAAGCCGUGGGCGAGAAGCGUGUUUGCACUAGCGGUCGUUGGGAAAUACAUAAUUAUAUCCGGAGGUGAGAUCGAGAUGGACGUAAAGGCUCAUUUGGGUCCGGGGUCAUUGACCGGUGGGGCUUUUGUGUUGGACACUGAGAGUUUGGUCUGGGAGAAACUUGAGGAAGGUCAUAGCCCUCGUGGUUGGAUCGCAUCCACGACUGCAUCCAUUGAUGGGAAAAAGGGGCUGUUGAUGUAUGGAGGGAAGGCUCCGACCAAUGGUCGUUAUGAGGACAUCUAUUUCUAUGGCGUAGACUCUGCAUAAGACCGCUCGUGUUGGUGAGUUUGGUGCAUCAUGGGGAGGGUCUGGUUUGUGACUUGUGAGACUUGAAAGUUAAGAGCUACUACUACCUGCUUGUGUGUUCUAAUAAUGUCAUUUUCUGGGUGUUUGGUUUGUAUGAAUAAGAGCAUAAAUGCCAUUUCAAAUAAUAUAUGUAUGUGAAUAAAUAAAAAGAUGUUUGCAAUAAUUCAUAGCAGUAUUUUUCUCCCCUAAAUUGAAACAUUUUACUUACUGUCUUUGUCAUGAUAUCUCAUACCUGUUUUUGUCUAGAGCAGUAUUCAAACUGUAUUAAUCUCAUACUUCCCUUAGGUUUUGAGAAACUACUUCAAACAUAUGUCUUGGUCAUUAUAUUGAUAAAUGUUUUUGUGUAGAGCAAUACUCAAACUGUAUUAGUCUCAUGCUUCACUUUCGUUUUGAGAAACUUUAUGAUAUUGAUAACUGUUUUUGUGUAGACAAGUAUUCAAGCGGUAUUAUUAACAUGCUUCCCUUAAGUUUUGAAAAAAUUCAAGCUACUAUCAUUGUCAUGAUUUAGCUUCUUUUUUUUUUAUGAGCAAUAUCCAAGCUAUAUUUUUCUCAUAAUUCCCUUACGUUUUGAGAAAAUUUAAGCUACUGUCUCUGUACCUUUUCCUGCUCCUAUGGUGUUUUGUUGUUCUUGGUUUAUGAUCUGUUUCCUGUUUGAAUUAGCUAGAUUGGUUGCUUUAGUUUGUUUCUGAUUGCUAUUUUUACCACGUGCCAAUUAAUCUAAUGUCCCAAUAAUACCAUAAUCGAAUGAUAUGUCAUUGUAGCAUUUUAGGAUCGAGUCUAUAAGGAACUAAUGAUCUAUACACUACAAGAAAACUCAAGCUUAACGAGGAAAAUUAACGAGAAAAAACAAACCUCGUAAGUUUACGUCAACUUGACGAGGAUUUUACGUGAAUAACGGUAUCAUCGUUAUUUCCUCGUAAAAUAACGACAAAAACCUUUCGUCGUAAAGUCGAUGUAAUGUGACGUGUCAUUUACGUGGAAAUAACGAUGAUAUUAUGUUUCACGUACGUUCCUCGUAAAGUGGACGUAAAAUUCGCAUGUUAUUUACGAGGAAACUAUUUACGUGGAUUUAGCGAGGAAAUUUUGAAUCCACCAACUUUGUAAGUGACACACGUUUUUUUUUGCACCUAAUUAAUUUUCGUCGUAAAUUCAUAGGAAAAUUACAACUACCAGAUUCAAAAUUUCCUAUAAAUAUGGAUGUUUAAGCAUCAUUUUAAACACACCAACAACAAAAAACGUAAAAGGAAAAAAAAAUGGCUGGCUCUGGAACUAUUUACGAGUUGCGGAAGUGGAUGUAUAUGCAUAGAGAUGCUAACGGGAGAGUGACGAAAGAAUACCUUGCGGGGCUGGAGACAUUUAUGCAUCAAGCAGAUUCAACACCGCUCGCCCAAGAAAGUGGUAAGAUGUUUUGUCCUUGUCGGAAAUGCAACAAUUCGAAACUGGCAAACCGUGAAAAUGUUUGGAAGCAUUUAAUAAAUAGAGGUUUCACGCCAAAUUACUAUAUAUGGUUUCAACAUGGAGAAGGUUUUAAUUAUGAUCAGAAUGAAGCUAGUAGUAGUAAUAGCAAUUUUCAGGAAGAACCGGUUGAUCAUCAUUUGCAUAAUGAACAUAGUUACCAUCAGGAGGAGAUGGUAGAUUAUGAUAGGGUUCAUGAUAUGGUAGCUGAUGCAUUCGUAGCUCAUGAUGAAGAUGAAGAACCUAAUAUAGAUGCAAAAAAGUUUUACGAAAUGUUAAACACGGCGAAUCAACCACUCUACAGUGGUUGUAGAGAAGGUCUCUCUAAAUUAUCGCUGGCUGCUAGAAUGAUGAAUAUUAAAACUGAUCACAAUCUACCUGAAAGUUGCAUGAACGAAUGGGCUGACUUGUUUAAAGAGUAUUUGCCGGAAGACAAUGUGUCUGCUGAUUCUUAUUAUGAGAUUCAGAAACUGGUUUAUAGUCUUGGGUUGCCUUCAGAGAUGAUAGAUGUUUGCAUCGACAACUGCAUGAUCUAUUGGGGAGAUGAUGAGAAGCUAGAAGAAUGUCGAUUCUGCAAGAAGCCACGAUUCAAGCCGCAAGGACGGGGACGUAAUAGGGUACCGUACCGAAGGAUGUGGUACCUACCAAUUACAGACAUAUUGAAAAGAUUGUAUCAAUCAGAGCAGACUGCUGAGAAGAUGAGAUGGCAUGCCGAGCAUACUCAAACGGAUGGUGAGAUGUCUCAUCCAUCAGAUGCAAGAGCCUGGAAACAUUUCAACAGAGUAUAUCCGGAUUUCGCUAGCAAUAGUCGCAAUGUGUAUCUCGGACUAUGCACAUAUGGAUUUAGUCCGUUUGGAAUGUCAGGGAGACAAUAUUCAUUGUGGCCAGUCUUUCUUACACCAUACAAUCUGCCACCGGAGAUGUGCAUGCAACGGGAAUUGCUAUUCUUGACCAUAUUAAUACCUGGUCCGAACCAUCCAAAAAGGUCCCUGGAUGUUUUCUUACAACCACUGAUAAAAGAGUUGAAGGAUUUGUGGUCAACAGGGGUGAGGUCGUAUGACUGUUCAACGAAGACGAAUUUUACGAUACGAGCGAUGCUUUUGUGGACCAUAAGUGAUUUUCCUGCCUAUGGGAUGUUGUCUGGAUGGACUACACAUGGGAGAUUAGCUUGUCCAUAUUGUAAUGGAACGACAGAUGCGUUUCAACUAAAGAAUGGUAGGAAGACAAGUUGGUUUGAUUGUCACCGUCGGUUUCUUCCCAUUGGCCAUCCUUACCGAAGAAACAAGAAUUUGUUUAGGCACAAAAGGGUUGUGAGAGACACUCCUCCUCCAUAUCUAACUGGAGAACAAAUUGAAGCGCAAAUCGACUACUAUGGGGCUAAUGAAACAGUUCAUUGGGGUGGUAAUUGGCAUGUCCCUCGUAAUAUGCCUGAUUCUUACGGUGUUCAUCACAACUGGCACAAGAAGAGUAUAUUUUGGGAGUUGCCAUAUUGGAAGGAUCUUCUUCUACGCCACAACCUCGAUGUGAUGCAUAUAGAGAAGAAUUUCUUUGAGAACAUCAUGAAUACAAUAUUGAAUGUCCCAGGGAAGACAAAAGACAACAUAAAAUCGAGGUUAGACUUGCCGGAUAUUUGCUCAAGAAGCGAGUUACAUAUUAAAAGCAAUGGACAAAUUUCCGUUCCGAUAUUCAGAUUGUUUUCAGAAAAAAAGUCGGUAUUGUUCAACUGGGUGGCAUCAGAAGUGAAGUUCCCCGAUGGGUAUGUAUCGAAUCUCUCUAGAUAUGUUGAAAAGGGUCAAAAGUUCUCCGUGAUGAAGAGUCAUGAUUGUCAUGUCUUUAUGCAACGACUACUGUCCUUUGCAUUUGCGGAGCUACUUCCAACAAACGUACAUGAAGCACUUGCAGGUACGAGUGUAUUAUAUGACAAUAAUUUUAUAACGGUCUAUUUUGUAAAAUAAUAUAUGACUAACAAUGUGUUUAAUUGUUUUUGGAAUAUAAAAGGCAUUGGAGUAUUUUUCAGGGAUCUGAGCACACGCACUCUUAAAGAAGAAGUUGUGGAACAGCUUCAGGAGAACAUUCCCAUCUUAUUGUGCAACCUGGAGAAGAAAUUUCCUCCCGGUUUUUUUGACGUCAUGGAGCAUCUAGCUGUCCACCUUCCAUAUGAGGCAUUGCUUCGUGGACCUGUACAUUACGGAUGGAUGUAUCAGUAUGAGCGAGCCAUGAAAUAUUUGAAGGGAAAAGCAAAGAACCUCGCCAAAGUUGAAGGUUCUAUAAUUGCUGGAAGUUUGACGGAAGAAGUUUCUCACUUCACAUCGUACUACUUUGCGUCAAAAGUACGUACCCGGAGAAGAGCUCCAAGAAGAUAUGAUGAUUGUGGUGUUGCGCCAACAUAUGCAGUUGCUGGUGUUCCAGACAUUUUUAGCCAGAUUGGGUGACUCGGUGGGAAGUCUAAAGAGGUUUGGUGGUCGAGUGAACAAGACGCUCAUAGUGCACACACCUAUAUUCUACUCAAUUGCGAGGAUCCAUUGAUGCGUUAUUUUGAAAGGUAACAUAUAUAUGGACACUUCGAAACACAUCUAAUUAAGUAUAAUAAGUUAUAUUAAUUGGAAGAGAUUCAUUCCUAUUAUAAAAUGUGAUUUUACAGCCUAUUUGUUUCUCAAGUCGAAGAAACAUUUCCUGGUAUAUCCACAAGUGACGUAGACAAAAGGAAAGAUCAACACUUCAUAAAGUGGUUGCGAAAUCAGGUAUUAUCUCAAACUCUUUUUUCGUACAUGAUCGGUAUUUAAACAUUAUCUUUACUUUUGCAGGUUGAUUAUGACGACGAUGCAGAUUAUCCUAAAUGGUUACACGAAGUAAUUCAAUCUCCACUUGUAAAGGUCACCACAUCACAGAUGUAUUUCACGCGAGGCUAUACUUUUCACACAUAUGAGUAUGGUAGACAGCGGGCGACCAGUAACUAUGGAAUAUGUGUGAAAGGGGAAACAGAUUUCUACGGGAUCUUGAUGGAGAUUAUUGAAGUCGAAUUUCCAGGGAUACUGAAGCUGAAAUGCGUCCUCUUCAAAUGUGAAUGGUUCGACCCCGUCGUCAACAGAGGUGUUCGGUCUAACAAAUUCGGUGUAGUUGAUGUCAACGGUGGACGACGGUACAACAAAUUCGAGCCUUUCAUCUUAGCUUCACAAGCAGAUCAAGUUAGCUUCCUUCCAUACCCUCGGAUGAGAGAUUCGGGUAUAAAUUGGUUAGCUGUGAUCAAAGUUACACCUCGAGGACGAAUUAUCAGUGGAGAAGAACCACCAUUGCAAGAAGAACAGAUAAAUGAAGUCGAGGAACCUGAACAAGAAAUUGAUGACAUCCUUCUCAUUGAUCCGCAUAAUCACGAGUACGAAGAUCUUACCGACGAUGCCACAGACGAAGCUAAUGAAGACGAGUUUAAUGAAAAUGAUGAUGUUUCUAGUGAAGACGAGAAUGUUGAUGUAUCCGAUUGAUGUAUUUGAUUUUAUGUAGUUUAUUUUAUGAAUAAGAUAAUGUGGGAGUUUGAUUUAUGAAUAAGGUAAUGUGAAAGUUUAUUUUAAUUAUGAAUAAGGACUUGUGGUUUGGGGUUUGAAAUAUAUUAUAAAUAAGGUUUGAGGUGAAAGAAUAGAUUGAGGUUCAAGGGUAGAUGGGUUUGGGGUUUGGAAUAUAUGAAGUAGAAGAUAAGGAAGAUGGGGUUUGGGGUUUCGGAUUUUAGGGAUUUAAACUUAGUACUCGUUAAUUCCUCGUAACAUAGCGUGGAACUUACGACGAAAAGUAAAAUAAAUAACGCGGGGCACGCUAAUUCCACGUAAGCCAAAAUCGUCGUAAGGUUGUCGUAAGGCCACGAGGCGUUUACGACGAAAUUAAAAAAAAAUAAAGAAAGCGGGGCACGCUAAUUCCACGUAAGCCAAAAUCGUCGCAAGGUUGUCGUAAGGCCACGAGGAGUUUACGAAGAAAUUAAAAAAAAUAAAGAAAGCGGGGCACGCUAAUUCCACGUAAGCCAAAAUCGUCGUAAACGAGUCGUAAACUAACGAGGAUAUUACGACGAAAAUAUUAAAAAAAAAACUAAAAAAAAGAAGAGAAGAAAGAUACUUGAAUCACAUUUGGCGAGACUUACGUAAGUCUCGACCACAUGAGUUCCAAUAUCUUCUUCUCCUCUUUUUUUUCCAAAUAUUUCUAAAUUGAUGAAAAGCGGGACUUGCUACUUCUUCAUAGUAUAAAAACUAGUAAAAAAAGAAAAAAAGAAAGAUACUGGAAUUAUAUGUGGCGAGACUUACGUCUCGUCCACAUAAAUUCCAAAAUCUUCUUCUCUUCUUUUUUUUUCAAAUAUUUCUAAUUUGAAAAGCAUUUUGGUGAGGUGUGUGAUUUGAGAGAGGGUGUGUUUUGUGAGUUUGUGUGUGGUUUGAGAAGGAAAGUUGUGGGUAUUUAUAGAAAAUAUAAGCUCGCUAAUUCCUCGUAACACAUGUGCUCGUUAAUUCCACGUAAAGAUACUCGUCAUAAAAAUGUCGUUAACCAAAACGUGGGCCUUUGUAAUUCGUCGCUAUUUCCUCGUAAAUAAAAACGCGGGCCUCUGUAAUUCCUCGUAACUUUACGAGGAAAUGACGAGGACAAGUAAUCUUAUAUAUAUCCCCGAGCGAGCGAGCUCUUUCUUUCCUCUCCACUUCCUCUCCACUUCCUCCCUAUUUCGUAGCAAUGGUAAGUCUCUCUAAUUCCUCUCUAGUUUGAUUAGUUUAGGAUAGAUUAGGUGGUUAGUAUAGGGAAUUUAGAUAGGUUUACGGAUCUUAUGUUAUUUAGUGUUGAUUAGGUGGAUAAUAUUGGGAAGUAUAUUGUUCACGAAAAUUUAAAAAAUUAAAUUUUUUUUUUCAGGUUCGAAAAGGUAGACUUACUGCCCAUUACAGAGAGAUGUUCGGUGAGCCGGGUAGUCGUUUAGACCCGUCGUCUUCUUCAGCUCCCGGUUCUUCGGGUCAGGAGACUGUCCCCGAGACUCAGUACACUCAGAGAGUCUUUGGAUCUCCUUCUUCUAGUGCACCAUCGGUUCCUCACGUGCCUCCCCCGAUGGCUCCUCCUCCUAUGCCUCCUCCGAUGGCACCUCCGAUGCCCGCCGAGAUUCAUCCCGAUUUGAUGGUGCCUCCGAGUGCUCCUUACUCGCAGUACACCGUAGAUGACAUUCUCCGUCUGCCAGGCAGAGAAGGUUUACCAGUCAUCGACCCCGACCGACCGGACGGAACUUUGUGGUAUGUUUCAUUAUUUUUUUAUUCUUUUUAAAUUCUUUUAUAACUUUAAAAAAUAAUUUAUAUUUUAAAUUUGUAUUUUCCAGGUUUGGGAUUGACGGAUGUCUUGCAUCGGACGUAACCGACACGAUAAAAGAUUACUUCUCCAUGGCACAUCCGAACUGGAAAAAGACGCCUCACUACGUCAGAAAGACGUGGUUCAAAAUUUACGCUGUUCUAUUAAUUAAUUAUAUAUCUUUAAAUUUUUCAUUAUUUAUAUAUAUAUUUUUUUCUGAAAAAUUAAUUAUAAAUUAUUUUUUCCAACAGCAAAAAUAUAAUUGGGCAUUGGGGAUCACUGAGAGGGUGAGGAAGAAGUUUAUCGCGAAGGCGAAAGUUCGCUUGUUGGACACGAUCUCCAACUGGAAGGGUGACUGGAUCGUGAAGGGGUAUGAGCGUGGCAAACCCGUUGAGCUCACCACAGAUGUCUGGGAUGGCCUCAUCCAAUAUUAGCGUCUUCCUGAUUCCAUUAGAGUCGCCCAGUCUUGCUCUAACUCCCGUAACACAGUCGAUGAGCACGGGAACGGGCCGAUGCUUCACACUACGGGCCAAAAACCCACCCCGGUGUCCGUUUGGAAAUGGUAAUUAAAUAUUUAAUUAUAAUAAAUUUUUAGCAUAUUUUUAUAUAUAUUCUAACAACUUUCUUAAAUGUUUUUCCCGUCUCUUAUGCAACUUUACGAGAGGACCCACAAGAACAAGGCGGGCCGAUUUAUAUAUGGCAAGUCCGAGCAAAUCUACAACGAUUUGGCUGCUCGGGUUGAAGAACGCCAGACCCAGCUGACCCAGCAGUCCACCGAUGGAUUACCCGUCACCUUAUCCACACCUGAAGUGGAUAAGCUUUACGAGGAGGUAAAUUUUCUAAAAUUUUAAUUUUUUUAAUUAUUCAUUUAAUUUAACUUUAAAUUUUUACUAACAAAAUUUAUUUUUUUGUUUUUAAGGUUGUCCCUAAAAAAAAGGGACGGAAGUGGAGAUUGGUUCCGUCAACGAUGUUCCGAGAGAUACAUCGUCUUAUGUUCAGCGACGGGAUGAUGAAGUCUCUCAGCUGCGUAGGGAGUCCGAAGAGCUGCGUAGAGAGUCUACUGAGUUGCGUCACGAGUUGUGCUCGACGCGAUCUGCGUUCACAGCUCGUGUGGGUGGAGUCGAGGGCUUCUUGGACGUUGUAUCGGCCACAAAUCCGGAAUGGGAGACUUUGUUGAGGACCAUGCGACAACAAAAUCCUAUCCCAGGCGAGUCACCAACCGACGACUCACAUGCCGAGGCGGAUGUAACGGCGAGGAGUGAUGAAUUCUACCGGGCGAUUAACGACCCUUAGUUCUUUUUAAUUUCGGUUCUUGUAUUAUGAAUUCAAAACUUAUUUAUAUAUAAAAUAUUUUGGUUUUGAUUUUUUUAGAAUUUUAAUUUUAUUAAUAAUUUAAAUUAUUUUUUUAAUUAUAAUUUUUUAUAUUUCUGUAAAAUAACGAAACGAAGUAAAUUCGUAGCUAAUUUUGCGACUUCUUUACGUGGAAGCUUAACGAGGUUUUUACGAGGAAAUAUUUACAAGGAAAUGACGUGGACAAUUCACGUGGUCUUUACGAGGAAAGCUAUCAAGGUAUUUACGUUUACUUUACGAGUAUUUACUUUCGAGUUAUUUACGUGGCUUUAACGAGGAAUGGCUUUCGAGGUAUUUACGAGGAAAUUUAGCGACGUCCUUACGUGGAAGCUUUACGUGGUCUUUACGACGAAAUAUUCUUCUUCGUUUUUACGACGAAAUUAUUUCCUCGCUACGUUACGACGAAUUAGCGAGGAUAUAUGCGUUACGACAAAUGUAUAACGACGAAACGGGUUUCCUCGCUAAUUCCUCGUAACACUGCUUUUACGACGAAGUCACGAGGAAAACUGCCCUCGUAAAACUUGUGUUUUCUUGUAGUGAUAACACUAAGAAUACACAAACUUUCAUAAUCUAAACAAACAAGAAGAUGGAUGAUUGUAACAAACUAAUAUCCUAGAAAUAUAAACAAGGUGAUCUCAAAUCCAAUCAAGAAACAAGUGCAAGAACUAAACUUUCAAUCAAAUGCUAAGGAUAAAUCCAUGGGUAAGGAUAAUUGAUAUAAUGUGAUCAAGGUUCAAUCUAGGAUGUUCAAACAAAGCAAUCGACAUGUCUAUAGGUCUAGAACACUAAUAAAGAUCAUCAAUCCCAAGGUAGAGAUCCCUAUGCAAUCAUGAGUUAAACAUUCUUUCCCAUUGGUUCAAAUCUUUCAAGCACGCAUUAUGUUCAAGUCUACUAACCAUCUAGAAAUACUAAAUCAAAUCCCUUUGGUUAUUCAAACUAGAGCAAUAUUAAGUUCAUGCAACCAUUUUAACAAACACUUUUCAGGCGUAAAAUAGCUAAAUAUCAAGAUGAGGAUGAUCAAGUCAAAUCAAGCAUUAAGAACACCUAACAAGUAUAGAACAAUGCUACUCAAGCAAGAAACGUCCUAAAUAUCCACCUAAUCACCCUAAUCCACCUAACCCAUGAGUCACAAGGUGACUACUCACUAAUCUCCAUGAAAAACCUUAAACCCAUGUAAGGAUCAAGGCUAAUCAUGUUAAUGAGUAAGAAAAACACAAAUAUAAGAUGAAAUACUUCUUUAAAUUAUCAAAAAGUUCAAGCUUUUACAAGAUUAGACAAAGUCUUGAAAGAAAAUGAAAUAAAAUCUAAUAAGUAAGUCUAACAAGUAUUUAUAUAAACCUAAAAAACGAGUUGGGUCAACCCAAAAAACCUAGUUGACCCAUAAAAGGUUGGGUCUUUUCGUCUGUAGCGACCUGCUCUUGUCGCUAUGGUCUGGUCGCUACAACACUUAAAAAUAUUCCAGCUUCUUAGAACUCGUACCAACGUACACAUGUUGCUAGAGAGACUCGAAAAUCGUCCUAGCGACUUCUCCACUACACCGGGAUCGCUAUGAUAAUUGGUUGUCUCGUUCUUGGUCUUCUCGUAGCGACCACUCCUGGUCGCUACGCACAUCGCUAGGAGGACUCGCAUGAUGUCCUAGCGACUUGAUGAAGUCGCUACAGUGUUGAUAUGCCUUCAGUAUAUAGAUUAUAACUCCUUCCUUACGGCUCCAAAUGACUUGAAACCACUUCCAUUGGAAAGCUAAUUCAAUUUUUCAUGUGGUUCCAAAAGAUGAGUUUCAAAAAAUAUCUUUAAGAUCUUCAUCUAUGUUUCUUUUUCACCCCUUUGACUCAAAACCCUUCAAAUGUCUUCAAACUCACCAACAAAUAUCUCCAACUUCUGAUAUAGACAUAUACAAUGCAAUGAAGCCUAAAUAUGCCUAAAUGGUGAUAUAUAUGAUCAAUAUGUACACAAAAUGAUGGUUAAAAUCAUGCAAAUUCAUAAGAUAUCAGUUUCUAGAGAUUGACUCUCAAUCUGCUAGCUUUUGGCUCUGAUUCGUUAUCCAUUCGGUUUUGUCUCCGAGAGUUUUUGUACAAACUCGUCGGCUUAAAAUGUUCAUGUUGUGUAUUAUCUCUGCUUAUGACCCUCAAAUUCCUCCUUUGUAUGGUUUAUUUCUGUUUUAAUGGAAAUUCAGUGGAAAAAAGUUUUUGUCAUGAUACUGAUAACUGUUUUGUGUGGGGCAACACUCAAGUUGUAUUCUUUCAUUCACCAAAUAGCGUAAAAGUGACACCUUACUUGAAUAUUCUUAUUCCUUUCUUUCUUUUAUCUUUUAAAAAUGUAGAAUUCAGUUAAAUAUAAAAAAGAUUGUAAUGGCUGUAGCUAUGUUUCAAAAAUAUUCUAAGACAUUUAUGUAGAUAUUUUAAGACAUUGAUGUAGAAUUUAUAAUUUGUAUCAUUUACGUGAUGCAAACCAAGCUUCCAUAACAUCUAAUGAGUUUCUUCUCAUCUCUCAAACCUAUGAGAGCACCCUGAGAGAGGGUCUCUCAAGUAGUUUCUUGCCAAUAUAAAAAUGAAAUAUAUUGAAUAACGAAGAGAGAUGGUGAAAUGGAAAAAAGUGUUCUUUGAGAUACUCCAUCAAAAAUGCUGAGAGUCUUUUGUUUACAUGUCAUUUUCUCAUUGCCUUAGUUUUUUAUUUUGUUUUAAUUUUAUUUUGAUAAUGACAUGUUAAUGAAAAUAAUAAUAUUUAAUUUGGUUAGGUACUAUUAGGAGUAGAACCUCACCACUAGUUUGUCAACAGACUGAAUGAUGUGAUGGAUUCUUAUGGGGGUUGUGCUUACUUCUUUCAUGUAGCACAAGAUUCUCAGACAAUUUGAUUGUAAUUUUUCUGGCACGGUAAAGAAUAGUAUCUUCACCCUGAACAAUUUCAAAAUUAUCUUAGAUAAUUUUUUCAGCCAAACUACUUGAUAUAUUUCUAGAAUAUUUUUGUGCAUGUAUGAUCAAGAUUGUCAGGAAAUUUUUUAAUUUAAAUUGCAUAAAACCAUAUCCCCCUAGAGAAUACAUGAGGUCUUGUUUCUUUUAUUUUUGGAUAUCGGAAUCAUGUCCUUUUAAAGGUUUUUAACUACCUCCACUUGGAGUUGUAGAUCAUUUCUCUCACGUUUAUGUCAUUUGUAACCGAUUUCCUUCAGUUACUUUUCCCUAUCGUUAAAUGAUACGAGUUCACAUGUAAAGGGUAAGGGUAGGGCCCUAAUUUGCAAUCGCGUCCGUGCUUUUUAGUGGCUGUUCACAUUACAGGUUUUUUCUUCAUUUUUUUUUGUUUGUUCUUCUGGCUAACGGUUUUGAUUAUAAUAUAGUAAAUGUAUACAAUGAUUAUGUAGUGGUAAACUGCCACUCGGAAAAUAGGAUAAUAUAGUCCAAAAUUGUUGGUGCCGUUUAAGAGGAGUGAUAUUUAAACAAAAUUUGCAGAACUUCUUAUGCUAGAGCCCGUUGUAGUGAUGAUAACUCAACCAGUCAUCUUUGUAUUUUAACGUGAUUUAAAAGAAACAAAAAACGUGAUUAAAGGACACAAAAUUGACUGGUAUUAAUUAGUUAUAAUAUUUGAUCCAAGAAAAAACGUGAUCUAAAAGAAACAAAAACGUAAUUAAAGAACAUAAAAUUGACUCAUGUUAGUUAUAAUAUUUGAUCCAAGAAACAAUCUUCCUGUCCUGCAUGAUCAACCUGUAUAUACAUGCAACAUACACACUAUUAUUCAGGUUAAUCUAAAGUGAGCCAAUAAUGUAAUAAUGCAUAAAGUGACCAACAGAUUUUUCACCACACUCUUAAAAGCACUACAAACAAGUAAUAAUAAUUACAAAUUUUAAUUAAUCGGAUUCAAAAAUAAUAGCAAUUUUAUGGUGUUAUUAAAUUUAAAUAAUGAUCUUCCUAAAUACCAUAUCAAAAAAUAUGAAUGACAGGAAAAUAAAAACAGGUUUUCAAUCUUAAGUUAUAAAAUUUUCAUAUGAACUAAUAAACAACAUUUGAUGAUAGCGAAAAAAAAACAAAUGAAAAGUGAUUCUAAGGCACACUAACUAUAUGCUAUCACAUAAACAUACAUUUAUAUUAUAUUAAUGUGUCUUUAGCUAUAUAAAAUAUAUGAUUAACAUGAUGACAUAUAUCAACUAACAUAUGUUAUUUAGUUAACAUUAUAAUCAUACGACCAAAUGUCAAAAUUUGACAACCCUAUAUUGAAAAACAUACUCACGCCAAUUAGAAAAACCGACCUGGUCCAAUUUAACCAAUUCAAUCCAAUUUUUCGGAUAAAUUUUUAGUUGGUUUGGAUCAGUUUUAUUUGUUCUAUCGUUUUUAUUUUAGAUCGAGUCGGAUUUCAAUGCUGGAGUACUGGGUUCUGAUAUAUAUAUCUGACCUAAGAUACACCAAGAUAGUGUGUGAAUCUGAUUCAUCCCAGCUUAUCAAGCUGUAAACUCUACCACCGCAGUAUCGGAGCUUUAUUGCAUCGUAGCGGAUAUCUCCUCAUUUGCUAUUUUUUUUUUUUUCUCAUUUGCUAUUUUCUUUGAAUUCAUUUCUUUUCGUUGGAUUUCUCGUGUGAGAAACAAUGAGGCAGAUAGAGUGUUGGCAGAUUAAGUUGUAGUGACUAUCACCUAACUUUUGAAGGUUUUUAAUAUAUGAUGUGUUUCAAAAAAAGAGAGUGUUAUCUAUAUAACAUAUGUUAGUUGAUAGUUGAUACAUAUCGUUACAUAAGCCAUGUGGUUCGUGGUUAUUGAUACAUUAAAAUUUGUCUAGAAUCUAGAUCAAUAUUUUUUAGAUGUGGAACUAUGUGAUAUUUAUAACUCAUGUAGUCGGUUAAAUUAUUUUCCAAAAAUAAUACAUUUUAAAGGCAAAUUAAUAAUACUUGCCUAAAAAAUCAAAAGAAAAAUCUGAAAUGUAUGGUCGAUGGUGUGUAACGUGUGCGGGUGAUAUUUUUUAGUUUAAAUGUGACGGGUGAAACACGUCAAAACAAAAGAAGCGACAUCGAGUAUAAAUACGCACUACUCAGCGCUCAUAAUCACAUAUCACUCUCACUCGCAGCUUUUAAUCUAAGAUUAACACCCUCGAGUCUCAGGUUUCUCUCUUUAUCUCUCUCUGUUAGUACAAGUUUCCUCUUUUAUGUAUGUGAAUUCAAUCAUGUCACAGACUCAUAGGAGACAUAUUAAAAUAUUCCCCGUAAUGGAGCCUGAAAAAUGAUAUUUCAAUGGAAACAAUAUUUUAAAGGAGACAUUUACUUCAUUUUUCUUUAGUCAUAUAUAAACAGAGUUUGUGUUACUUCUGUUUCCUGUCUUGCAUCAUUUUUGCUGUUAGUUAGUGUGUUUUUGAAAGAAGAGUUUUAUUUUUAAAGGUUUUCGUUGAAGUUAGAAGAUGGAAACAAUGUCUGAAAAAGUGGGAGCGGUCGGUGGUAACAAAGGCGGACCAUUUGACGAUGGUGUCUUCGAUGGUGUGAAGAAAAUAACUGUGGGAAAAGACUUCCACAGUGUUUCUUAUAUCAAGAUUGAGUACGAAAAGGAUGGAAAAUUUGAAACCCGUGAACAUGGAACCAUUCGUGGAGAACUUCAAGAGGUAAUAGUCUAAUAGAUCCUGGCUUUGUUAUUCUUCAGUAUGUUACCUUUACUGCCUGGCGGAUCUACAGUGUGUAGGGAGGGGGCAGCUGCCCUCAGUAAAAAUAGAGAUUAAAUUAUGUGCAUAAGUAAUUCUAAUGAUUCUGCAGCUCAAAUGGUGAAAUCCUUCAUGUUGCCCCCAUUGGUGUACAGUUCGAACAGCCAACUGCUCUAAAUUUAUGUUUUCUGGUUUUAUUAUGAUUUUUUUUUUUUAUAUACCUCUGUUUUUUUUGGCCACGUGUCGUAUCCAUUGUUUUCUUUCACGUUGCAUUUACUGAUUUACUUUAGUACUUUUAUUCAUUACCUCUUUGUCAUUCAAAUUCUAUUUUAUUUUUCAAUUUUUUUUUCUUAACAACUUAUUUCAUUUUAUUUUUCAUGAACUCGUUAUAAUUCUUGAAAUUUUUUCUUUUAGUUUUAUUAGUUUAACUUUCUUUUAAAAUUUUUCUUUAAAAAUAUGAAGAUAUGUAUAUAUGUAAUAAUAUUAAAUAAAAAUAUAUAUAAUUAACUAAUUAAUUAAUUUAAUAUGCCCCCAGUCAAAUUAUUUUCUGGAUCCGCCACUGCAGUGCCUUGUACAUUUGUUUUUUUUUUACUGAACCUUGUACAUUUGUUGUUUCUAAUGGAAAAUGAAAUCUAGUUCACGGUGGAUUAUCCGAACGAAUAUAUCACAUCUGUUGGUGGAAGCUACGAACACGUUUUAAGCUAUGGAACAGUGCUGAUCAAAUCUUUACGCUUCAAAACCUCAUAUGGAAGGACCUCUCCCAUACUCGGUCAUACGACGUUGUUUGGAAAUCCAGAUGGGAGAGAAUUCUUGCUGGAGGGUAAAGAUGGUGGAAAGCUUCUAGGUUUCCAUGGACGUUCUGGUCAAGCUCUUGAUGCCAUUGGUCCUCACUUCUUCGCUGUGAAAUCCCCUCUUAAGCACUAUAACCGUCAAGGUGGGAACGGAGGGAGUGCUUGGGACGAUGGCGCUUUUGACGGUGUUAGAAAAAUACUUGUUGGCCGUGGUGGUAAAUUUGUGAGUUAUGUGAGGUUUGAGUAUGCAAAAGACCAAGGAAUGGUGCCACAUGCUCAUGGGAAGAGACAAGAGGUUCCACAGGAGGUAUUAAUUGUUAAUAUACAAUUUGCUUAGUUUCGUGUUUAUUGAGAUUUCUUAAAAAUAUAUUUCUUGGUUGCAGUUUGUCGUGGAUUAUCCUGAUGAGCAUAUUGCCUUGGUGGAGGGAACCAUCGAUGGCUAUCUUACAUCGCUUAUGUUUAAGACAUCAAAAGGAAGAACUUCCCCUGCUUUUGGAAAUGUGGUUGGUAGGAAAUUUGUGUUCGAGGAAAAAGAUUUCAAGCUUGUCGGGUUUUGUGGUCGGUCCGGUGACGCUAUCGAUGCUAUUGGCGCACAUUUUGCCCCUCUUCCACCUCCACCUCCACCUCCAGCUCCAACUCCUGCUCCAACUCCAGCUCCAGCUCCAACUCCAGCGCCCACCACCACCACAAAGAUGGGACCGCUCGGAGGUAACAAAGGAAACACAUUCGACGAUGGCAUUUUGGAUGGUGUGAAGAAAAUAAUCAUCGCA
Molecule: long non-coding RNA, 18236 nt
Filed under: Brassica rapa (field mustard)
Lineage: Eukaryota; Viridiplantae; Streptophyta; Magnoliopsida; Brassicales; Brassicaceae
Description: long non-coding RNA (BRAP_LNC005643)
Source: RNAcentral